UNNCNUCCUANNNUUCAANNUACCCUGCGAGCAAUCGUGAUAAGGAAACCCUGAGUGCCUGUCGAUGCAGGCNGUUCAUAUAUCUAAAUCAUAUGUGAAGAAAGGGCAGGGCAAGACCNGUGCCAGCCGCCGCGGUAAUACCGGCUGCUCGAGUGAUGGCNACUAUUACUGGGUUUAAAGCGUCCGUAGCUUGACUGUUAGGUCUCUUGGGAAAUCUUCACGCUCAACGUGAAGGCGUCUAAGAGAUACCGGCAGUCUUGGAACUGGGAGAGGUAAACCGUACUUCGGGGGUAGGAGUGAAAUCUUGUAAUCCUCGAGGGACGACCUAUGGCGAAGGCAGUUUACCAGUUCAGCUUCGACAGUGAAAAACGAAAGCUCCCGGAGCAAACGGGAUUAGAUACCCCGGUAGUCCCAGCCGUAAACAAUGUGCGUUAGGUGUGUCGGUAACCACGUGUUACUGAUGCGCCGAAGAGAAAUCGUGAAACGCACCACCUGGGAAGUACGGGCUCAAGGCUGAAAC
This 520-nucleotide ribosomal RNA is filed under the name uncultured Methanomicrobiales archaeon. Its description in RNAcentral is "partial 16S ribosomal RNA". It matches the Rfam family "Archaeal small subunit ribosomal RNA", at positions 333 to 855 of the family's 1478-position model. The record is from RNAcentral. Lineage: Archaea; Methanobacteriati; Methanobacteriota; Methanomicrobia; Methanomicrobiales.